GGGAUUCGUCCCUGGGAUUUUGUUUUAAUUCGAAAUGAUAGCAUCCAAGGCGUGGCAAGGACAAUUCAUCACUAUAUAUACGGAUGCAUCGGAUUGAUUAAAAAUAAGUCCUUUUACAUUCAGAAGGAAGUGAUCAUCAUCAUGAACAAAGUGGCUUGUCUCAUUGUCCUCCUCGGCCUGGUCUGCAUGGCCAGCGCCCAAGUUUUGCUGUCCGGAGGCGUCAAGGAUCUUGCUGGCAACUAUUACGACUUCACCACCGGUCAAGUGGCCAGUUCUGCUACAGGACGAGUCUACAACACUGGACAUUUCCCUCUCCCUUAUGCCCGAGCUGUGUACUGGUAAAGAUUCAUGGAAAGGAAACUAUUCAAGCUGUCUGCAGUUUUGACUGAUGAUUCCUGGUGAUGACGUAUAGGAGAUUUCAAUAGUCAAAUUCCGCGUUUUUACAAAAAUAAAAGAAAAAUCGAUUUUUUCCCCUUUUUAAAUAUUGUUUUCUUUAAAUUAAGAAAUUACUUUUGUCAUUAAAAUUCUAUUUUGUAAAAAGCAA
Argiope bruennichi is the source of this 544-nucleotide long non-coding RNA. RefSeq lists it as uncharacterized. The transcript is spliced from 3 exons. Lineage: Eukaryota; Metazoa; Arthropoda; Arachnida; Araneae; Araneidae. The record is from RefSeq and is a predicted model, not a curated record.